AUAUCAUUAAGCGGAGGAAAAGAAACUAACAAGGAUUCCCCUAGUAACGGCGAGUGAAGCGGGAAAAGCUCAAAUUUGAAAGCUUGCAGCAAUGCACGCGUUGUAAUCUCGAGAAGUGUUUUCCGUGCUGGACCAUGGACAAGUUCCUUGGAAUAGGAUGUCAUAGAGGGUGAGAACCCCGUCUUUGCCAUGGACGCCCAGUGCUUUGUGAUACACUUUCAAAGAGUCGAGUUGUUUGGGAAUGCAGCUCAAAAUGGGUGGUAAAUUCCAUCUAAAGCUAAAUAUUGGGGAGAGACCGAUAGCGCACAAGUA
Molecule: ribosomal RNA, 312 nt
Filed under: uncultured eukaryote
Lineage: Eukaryota
Description: partial large subunit ribosomal RNA
Rfam family: Eukaryotic large subunit ribosomal RNA
Source: RNAcentral